UACGGUGGGAGCAAGCGUUGUUCGGAUUUACUGGGCGUAAAGGGCGCGUAGGCGGUAGCACAAGUCAGUUGUGAAAUCUCCGGGCUUAACUCGGAAAGGUCAACUGAUACUGUGCGACUAGAGUGCAGUAGGGGCAACUGGAAUUCUCGGUGUAGCGGUGAAAUGCGUAGAUAUCGAGAGGAACACCUGCGGCGAAGGCGGGUUGCUGGGCUGACACUGACGCUGAGGCGCGAAAGCCAGGGGAGCGAACGGG
RNAcentral lists this ribosomal RNA (253 nucleotides) under uncultured bacterium. RNAcentral's name for it is "partial 16S ribosomal RNA". It matches the Rfam family "Bacterial small subunit ribosomal RNA", at positions 524 to 776 of the family's 1533-position model. The record is from RNAcentral.